RNAcentral lists this transfer RNA (82 nucleotides) under Lupinus angustifolius (narrow-leaved blue lupine). RNAcentral's name for it is "tRNA tRNA-Leu". It matches the Rfam family "tRNA". From Rfam's summary of the family: Transfer RNA (tRNA) molecules are approximately 80 nucleotides in length. Their secondary structure includes four short double-helical elements and three loops (D, anti-codon, and T loops). Lineage: Eukaryota; Viridiplantae; Streptophyta; Magnoliopsida; Fabales; Fabaceae. The record is from Rfam by way of RNAcentral.
GGUAGCGUGGCCGAGUGGUCUAAGGCGCUGCAUUAAGGCUGCAGUCCCUUCGGGGGCGUGGGUUCGAAUCCCACCGCUGCCA